AAAGAAACUAACAAGGAUUCCCCUAGUAACGGCGAGUGAAGCGGGAAGAGCUCAAAUUUAAAAUCUGGCUUGCUUGCAAGUCCGAGUUGUAGUCUGAAGAAACGUUUUCCAUGAAAGCUGAGGCACAAGUCUUUUGGAACAAGGCAUCAUAGAGGGUGAGAAUCCCGUCCAUGGUCUCAUGCAUUUCAUUUUGUGAUACGUUUUCUAAGAGUCAGGUUGUUUGGGAAUGCAGCCUAAAAUGGGUGGUAAAUUUCAUCUAAAGCUAAAUAUUGGCGAGAGACCGAUAGCGAACAAGUACCGUGAGGGAAAGAUGAAAAGAACUUUGAAAAGAGAGUUAAAAAGUACGUGAAAUUGUUGAAAGGGAACCGUUUGAAGCCAGUCUUGCUUACUUGUGAUCAAUCUUAGCUUCGGCUUGGAUGCACUCUCGAGUUAUGCAGGUCAACGUCAGUUUGAGAGGUGAGAAAAAAGUUUGAGGAAUGUGGCCUUCGGGUGUUAUAGCCUCUUACUAAAUAUCAUCUCCUGGACUGAGGCUCGCAGCAAAAAUGUGGGUUGGUUUGCUCCUGAGGUGAAUCAUUAUUAAGACAGCUUGCUGACUUAGUUUUGUGGAUCUUCACGGUAGACCAGCUUCUAAUUUGCUUAGGUCGUUGACAUAAUGGCUUUAAAUGAC
Molecule: ribosomal RNA, 667 nt
Filed under: Umbelopsis isabellina
Lineage: Eukaryota; Fungi; Mucoromycota; Umbelopsidomycetes; Umbelopsidales; Umbelopsidaceae
Description: eukaryotic LSU rRNA
Rfam family: Eukaryotic large subunit ribosomal RNA
Source: RNAcentral